UGGGGAAUAUUGCACAAUGGGCGCAAGCCUGAUGCAGCGACGCCGCGUGCGGGAUGACGGCCUUCGGGUUGUAAACCGCUUUUGAUCGGGAGCAAGCCUUCGGGUGAGUGUACCUUUCGAAUAAGCACCGGCUAACUACGUGCCAGCAGCCGCGGUAAUACGUAGGGUGCAAGCGUUAUCCGGAAUUAUUGGGCGUAAAGGGCUCGUAGGCGGUUCGUCGCGUCCGGUGUGAAAGUCCAUCGCUUAACGGUGGAUCUGCGCCGGGUACGGGCGGGCUGGAGUGCGGUAGGGGAGACUGGAAUUCCCGGUGUAACGGUGGAAUGUGUAGAUAUCGGGAAGAACACCAAUGGCGAAGGCAGGUCUCUGGGCCGUUACUGACGCUGAGGAGCGAAAGCGUGGGGAGCGAACAG
Molecule: ribosomal RNA, 410 nt
Filed under: uncultured bacterium
Lineage: Bacteria
Description: bacterial SSU rRNA
Rfam family: Bacterial small subunit ribosomal RNA
Source: RNAcentral